UGCGCAGGCGGCUCCUUAAGUCAGAUGUGAAAGCCCCGGGCUUAACCUGGGAACUGCGUUUGAAACUGGGGAGCUAGAGUGUAGAAGAGGGGGGUGGAAUUCCAGGUGUAGCAGUGAAAUGCGUAGAGAUCUGGAGGAACACCGAUGGCGAAGGCAGCCCCCUGGGCUAACACUGACGCUCAUGCACGAAAGCGUGGGAGCGAACA
RNAcentral lists this ribosomal RNA (206 nucleotides) under uncultured bacterium. RNAcentral describes it as "partial 16S ribosomal RNA". It matches the Rfam family "Bacterial small subunit ribosomal RNA", at positions 568 to 774 of the family's 1533-position model. The record is from RNAcentral.